RNAcentral lists this ribosomal RNA (478 nucleotides) under uncultured bacterium. RNAcentral describes it as "partial 16S ribosomal RNA". It matches the Rfam family "Bacterial small subunit ribosomal RNA", at positions 28 to 523 of the family's 1533-position model. The record is from RNAcentral.
GACGAACGCUGGCGGCGUGCUUAACACAUGCAAGUCGAACGGUAAGGCCCUUCGGGGUACACGAGUGGCGAACGGGUGAGUAACACGUGGGUGAUCUGCCCUGCACUUCGGGAUAAGCCUGGGAAACUGGGUCUAAUACCGGAUAGGACCACUGCCUGCAUGGGUGGUGGUGGAAAGCUUUUGCGGUGUGGGAUGGGCCCGCGGCCUAUCAGCUUGUUGGUGGGGUGAUGGCCUACCAAGGCGACGACGGGUAGCCGGCCUGAGAGGGUGACCGGCCACACUGGGACGGAGAUACGGCCCAGACUCCUACGGGAGGCAGCAGGGGGGAAUAUUGCACAAUGGGCGCAAGCCUGAUGCAGCGACGCCGCGUGAGGGAUGACGGCCUUCGGGUUGUAAACCUCUUUCAGCACCGACGAAGCGCAAGUGACGGUAGGUGCAGAAGAAGGACCGGCCAACUACGUGCCAGCAGCCGCGGUAA